AACGAACGCUGGCGGCAUGCCUAACACAUGCAAGUCGAACGAGACCUUCGGGUCUAGUGGCGCACGGGUGCGUAACGCGUGGGAACCUGCCCUUAGGUUCGGAAUAACUCCCCGAAAGGGGUGCUAAUACCGGAUAAUGUCUUCGGACCAAAGAUUUAUCGCCUUUGGAUGGGCCCGCGUUGGAUUAGCUAGUUGGUAGGGUAAAAGCCUACCAAGGCGACGAUCCAUAGCUGGUCUGAGAGGAUGAUCAGCCACACUGGGACUGAGACACGGCCCAGACUCCUACGGGAGGGAGGAGUGGGGAAUAUUGGACAAUGGGCGAAAGCCUGAUCCAGCAAUGCCGCGUGAGUGAUGAAGGCCUUAGGGUUGUAAAGCUCUUUUACCCGGGAUGAUAAUGACGGUACCGGGAGAAUAAGCACCGGCUAACUACGUG
RNAcentral lists this ribosomal RNA (433 nucleotides) under uncultured bacterium. Its description in RNAcentral is "partial 16S ribosomal RNA". It matches the Rfam family "Bacterial small subunit ribosomal RNA", at positions 29 to 507 of the family's 1533-position model. The record is from RNAcentral.